RNAcentral lists this ribosomal RNA (550 nucleotides) under bacterium BaC1-10. Its description in RNAcentral is "bacterial SSU rRNA". It matches the Rfam family "Bacterial small subunit ribosomal RNA", at positions 80 to 626 of the family's 1533-position model. The record is from RNAcentral.
GCUCCUGGGUGACGAGCGGCGGACGGGUGAGUAAUGUCUGGGAAACUGCCUGAUGGAGGGGGAUAACUACUGGAAACGGUAGCUAAUACCGCAUAACGUCGCAAGACCAAAAAGGGGGACCUUCGGGCCUCUUGCCAUCAGAUGUGCCCAGAUGGGAUUAGCUAGUAGGUGGGGUAACGGCUCACCUAGGCGACGAUCCCUAGCUGGUCUGAGAGGAUGACCAGCCACACUGGAACUGAGACACGGUCCAGACUCCUACGGGAGGCAGCAGUGGGGAAUAUUGCACAAUGGGCGCAAGCCUGAUGCAGCCAUGCCGCGUGUAUGAAGAAGGCCUUCGGGUUGUAAAGUACUUUCAGCGGGGAGGAAGGUGAUGAGGUUAAUAACCUCGUCGAUUGACGUUACCCGCAGAAGAAGCACCGGCUAACUCCGUGCCAGCAGCCGCGGUAAUACGGAGGGUGCAAGCGUUAAUCGGAAUUACUGGGCGUAAAGCGCACGCAGGCGGUCUGUCAAGUCUGAUGUGAAAUCCCCGGGCUCAACCUGGGAACUGCAU